Molecule: RNase P RNA, 300 nt
Filed under: Gonapodya prolifera JEL478
Lineage: Eukaryota; Fungi; Monoblepharomycota; Monoblepharidomycetes; Monoblepharidales; Gonapodyaceae
Description: Nuclear RNase P
Rfam family: Nuclear RNase P
About the family: Ribonuclease P (RNase P) is a ubiquitous endoribonuclease, found in archaea, bacteria and eukarya as well as chloroplasts and mitochondria. Its best characterised activity is the generation of mature 5'-ends of tRNAs by cleaving the 5'-leader elements of precursor-tRNAs.
Source: Rfam by way of RNAcentral
GGCGCCGCGCCACGCGCCCCCGCGAAGGCUUAAGGUCCUGUGCCCGCCUUCUUUCGAGCUGGGGGUGAAGGUCUUCGCAUCCGCCUCGCCAACAGUUCUAGUGAACAAGCACAGAGAGGUGCUACGGCUCACCAGAAACAUCCCGCACUUUGAUGGGACGCUCCAGGCUCUCUGGGGGUUUCCCUGCGGUUGGAAGAGUCCCGGGACGCGAAAUUCUUUGAGUGCAAAUCUGCCGAGCAGUGCGGGCGGGGAGGGUUUGCCUUCCUCGUUCGCGUUGUGACUCGAUGAGGACUAUACACC